This 882-nucleotide long non-coding RNA is filed under the name Olea europaea subsp. europaea. The record is from RNAcentral. Lineage: Eukaryota; Viridiplantae; Streptophyta; Magnoliopsida; Lamiales; Oleaceae.
AACUUAAAAAACUAACAUUAAAACAACAACUAAAUAUAUUAUAGAAACGAUUUAUAUUAUAAACCAUCAAAACCAACAAUGUUUCAAACAAUUAGUUGAAUACUAUUCGUCUUGCCGUUUUGGAGGCAAAAAUAUCAAUCAAAUCUGAAUAAUUUAGCUGUCCAACCAUUUCUUUUUCUAUUGAUAACAUGGCCAACCCGUUUAAUCUUUCUUGUGACAUAGUUGAUCGAAGAUAGGUCUUGAUCAACUUCAAUUUUGAGAAACUUCUUUCCGCAGAUGCAACUGUAACCGGUAUGGUUAACAAAAUUUUGUAAGCAAUAUAAGCAUUUGGGUAACAAAUAUUGUGAGUCUUCAAAUAUUGCAGCACUUUAAUUGCUCUUAUUGCUUCAUUUGGUAAAUAAAUCUUCAAGACUUGUAACUCCGAACAUAAAUAAUCUCCACUGAUAUCCGAACGCCCAUCAUGUUCAAGAUAUUUCUCAAGAUUCAUACAAGAGUUCAACAAACUUGAUAAAGUUGCAUCCCUUAAUCUUUUCAAAUUAAACAAAAAUUCAAAUAUGUCAUCAUAUUGUUUGAAUUGUUCAAAUCGACCCCUCAGAGAAGAUAGAGCUUGAUCAAUUAUAAAAAUAAAGUACUCAACUCUAAAAGAUUCUUCUGAUGAUUGCUUUACCUCAUCACUACCGCUUUCAUCAAAUUAUUUUUUCCUUCGAAUUAUGCGUUUUUCUGUAAAUACAACUUCAAUUCCCAUUUCGUUUGCCUUUUUUGUUGCUUCAUCCAUAGCAACGGCAAAUCCGAUUUCUCUAUAAUCUUCAAAAAAUAAAACAAGUCCUUGCAAUAGAUCGAUAGCAUGAUCAAUAUCCAUGGAUUCGGUUUGAAGAAAUUUAC